GAUGAACGCUGGCGGCGUGCCUAAUACAUGCAAGUCGAGCGAACAGACGAGGAGCUUGCUCCUCUGACGUUAGCGGCGGACGGGUGAGUAACACGUGGAUAACCUACCUAUAAGACUGGGAUAACUUCGGGAAACCGGAGCUAAUACCGGAUAAUAUAUUGAACCGCAUGGUUCAAUAGUGAAAGCCGGUUUUGCUGUCACUUAUAGAUGGAUCCGCGCCGCAUUAGCUGGUUGGUAAGGUAACGGCUUACCAAGGCAACGAUGCGUGGCCGACCUGGGAGGGGGAGGGGCCACAGGGAAACGAAAAAAGGGGCCAAAACCGCAGGGGGGGGAAAAGGAGGGAAAUUGCGGAAAGGGGGAAAAGCUUAAGGGGGAAAGGGGGGGGGGGGAGGAAGGGUUUUGGGAUGGUAAAACCUUUUUAUUAGGAAAAAAAAAAGGGGAAAGAAACAAGGAAGGUUUGGAGGGUACCAAAUAAAAAAACCAGGGCUAACAAGGU
This 496-nucleotide ribosomal RNA is filed under the name uncultured bacterium. Its description in RNAcentral is "partial 16S ribosomal RNA". It matches the Rfam family "Bacterial small subunit ribosomal RNA", at positions 28 to 506 of the family's 1533-position model. The record is from RNAcentral.